UCCAAACCCUAAAACUAAAAAUACCUGGUUUUUUUUUUCUGUUGCUUGUUAUGAAAAAGAUUCCAAAUCACACAGCUCCAACCAGUAGAAAAGUCACACUGCUGAUCAAAAAGUGAGUCCUUCACUCUGCCAGCAUCUCUUUAGUACAAAUGCAUUUUCCUAAAAAGCCCUGUUAAGUUUAGCAUCCUUACGAGAGCCUUGGAACAUCAAUACUUGUCUUGUGUUCUGCUGACCUUCCUUCAACCCUAAAAUAGCUGUUCCUACCCCACUGAAGUUUCUAUGUACAGAAAGACAUUUGAUGCCAGCUACAUUUGAAGAAAAUAAACUAUAUUUAAAGCUAUUAGUCAGUAUCACAGAUAGGUCCUGCCCUCCCCCUUCCCCCUGGGAUGGUUUGCCCUUUUUAAAUGGAGUCGGUUUGGAUAGAGUAUGUGUUUCUUGCAUGCCUGUUCUGAAGGGGCCUCCCACAGAUGCUAUUUAACAUAUCCUCUAUUAAUUAAAGGAGUGGUCAGUGUAUUUUAUCUGUUCAUCUAGGUGGAGCUGUCAAAGUGGAUUUGGAGCUGGAUUUGAAGACCAUUUUAAUUUGUAAAUUUGGUGGAUGCAUGGCUGCAGGUUUCCACUGAAAAAAUGGAGGCAUUGCAUUUGAUACAUCCUCUGGACUAAAAGUUUCCUGGCAUCAGUGAAAUAAAGUAGGAAGGUAUUUUUGUAUUAGCAGGCAGUGGCUGCUGCUGGAGGAGGACUGUUCUAGUGCUAUAAAAUGACUCCAGAUGGAGACUCUCUUUGCUGUUCACUGACUUCAGGCUCAAGCAAAGUUGAAAUGUAAUGCUUGUCCUGAUGUCACCAUCCUCAGCCAAGAAAUAUGGGAAUGUGUUUGACUCAGGGAGCAGCGACGAUCUCCCCAUAUGAUGUCUGAUUUAUCGGAUGUCUGCUAAAACAAUGGUUUUGGAAUAUUUUUUAGAUUUUCUUUAAGAAAAGGAAGAAAAUGAAGGUGAAUGAAAUGGGACUGGUGCUCUGGGCUUGACAGGCAUAGCACAGAAAUCAAUCCCUACAGAUUUGGCGUUAACAGUCAUACUGAAUAUCUGGAUCCAGUGCUCCUGGGAGAUCAUUUUUCCAUCUGCCUGGGAAAGUCACGGCCGCUCUCUCCCUACAGCUGACAUGGAGAUGCAGCCAAAGGUUCUUCCUGGCAGCCUGAGCCAGCAAGGGCUCUGGGUGCCUACCACCAUAAGGACCAAAUGCUAUGAAAAAAAUUAAAAAUAGAAGACUUAUGUGGUGCUCACUACACAGGGAAGUGAAAAACCUGUUUUUUUCCGGUGUGCAGAGGUACAUCACUGCUGCGGUGGCAAUGAGGUGAGGGACUGAGCAAAUCUAGGGUGAGCUCGGUCCUGCUCAGGACAUCUCUGCAGAGCAUCUGGUAUCCAGACAUGCUUCUGCAGCAGCAGGAGGGCAUCCAGUCUCUGAAGAUUAUACUGCUGCUGGAAUACACAGCAGCAGUAGUAGAAUAAGGAUUUUCUGUGCCUUAGUGCUGAAAUGCUUCAGGAUUUACCUAUCAAGCUCUGAAAUCCAAGCAAAGAAAAUCCUGGCUCUGGUGAAGCACUGAACAGAUGCUCCCUCUUAUUCUUCCUGGUUUGGAAGAGGCAAAGGAAGUUAUCUAUUAUCUUAUCUAAGCUAAACUGCAUAGUAAGAAUCUUUGCAUCAUCCGCCCAUUUUGUUCUUGCAGAGAACUGUUUCUCACGUAUGAGACAAUUUGUGCACAUUUCGUGUUUUCUUUGGAAAUGGCUUGCACUAAGCUAAACUUUUAUUCCCUUUCUCUGUAGUCUGCCACUUUUUCUGCUCUUUUCUAAGUGACCCACACUCUAACAGCUUGUCCUGGCUGCUGUGCUAUUGUUCCGUGCACAUGUGCUAUCACCACUAUUGCUGCCGGGCUGUUUGUCUUUUGAUUGCAUGUGGCUGGAAGAUUAAGCCUCAAUGAGCCCCGUUACUUUCUCAUGGGUUUUCCUCUCUUCCAGCAGCUCAGCCUGGCAGGUGACUUUGCCAUUGUUGUGCCGUCUGAGGCUACAUACGCACGUAGGAAGUUCACAGGGGAGAUUUUCUUCGUUUUCCUUUCCUGCCCAGGGAUCUGUAAACACUCUGUCAAAGCAAGCGUUCGGCUUUUCUGUUGUCCUCACGGCAGCGCGCUGAGGGGCAGCUGUGCGCCAUGGUUUUCCUCAAGAAAACUUGGAGAUUUCAAGGAGGGGAGUUGUAAUCCAUUGUUGGAUACCGGUUCCAUCGGGUUUCCUUCUCCACGGAAAACAGACGACAGGAAAGCAAUUGCAGGAGCAGAUGUGACUUGUGACGUAAAUGUUACUUCUGGCCCUUCUGUGCCUUUUUUUUUGACUAAUCCAGUAGGGUGAUUCCAAAGCAAGUCAGCUGGUACGUGAGACACAUGAGCCUAUGGUGGUCAUUUCAAGCUUUUCCUUGGCUCUGUAAGAUCCAGGGACAAUUUGCGAUACCUUACCAACCAUUUUUAAAAAUAAAAUUAGCAAGUAAGAGGAAUUUUUGGUAUUUCAAUAUGUGCAUCCUGUGUAAUUGCCUGCGUGAAUCCCGCUGCUCUGUCCACUGACUGAUGUCUCUGUUGUGAGCAAGGUAUUGAA
This is a non-coding RNA of Pseudopodoces humilis (Tibetan ground-tit), 2627 nucleotides long. The record is from RefSeq and is a predicted model, not a curated record. Lineage: Eukaryota; Metazoa; Chordata; Aves; Passeriformes; Paridae.